GAAAGUGGGGGAUCUUCGGACCUCACGCUAUCAGAUGAGCCUAGGUCGGAUUAGCUAGUUGGUGAGGUAAAGGCUCACCAAGGCGACGAUCCGUAACUGGUCUGAGAGGAUGAUCAGUCACACUGGAACUGAGACACGGUCCAGACUCCUACGGGAGGCAGCAGUGGGGAAUAUUGGACAAUGGGCGAAAGCCUGAUCCACCCAUGCCGCGUGUGUGAAAAAGGUCUUCGGAUUGUAAAGCACUUUAAGUUGGGAGGAAGGGCAGUAAGUUAAUACCUUGCUGUUUUGACGUUACCAACAAAAUAAGCACCGGCUAACUUCGUGCCAGCAGCCGCGGUAAUACGAAGGGUGCAAGCGUUAAUCGGAAUUACUGGGCGUAAAGCGCGCGUAGGUGGUUCGUUAAGUUGGAUGUGAAAGCCCCGGGCUCAAUCUGGGAACUGCAUCCAAAACUGGCGAGCUAGAGUAUGGCAGAGGGUGGUGGAAUUUCCUGUGUAGCGGUGAAAUGCGUAGAUAUAGGAAGGAACACCAGUGGCGAAAGCGACCACCUGGGCUAAUACUGACACUGAGGUGCGAAAGCGUGGGAGAGCAAACAGGAUUAGAUACCCUGGUAGUCCACGCCGUAAACGAUGUCGACUACCCGUUGGGAUCCUUGAUAUCUUAGUGGGCGCAGCUAACGCAUUAAGUCGACCGCCUGGGGAGUACGCGCCGCAAGGUUUAAAAACUUCAAAAUGAAUUUGACGGGGGCCCCGCACAAGCGGGUGAGAGCAUGUGGGUUUUAAUUUCGAAAGCCAACGGCAAAAGACACUCUUCACCCAGGGCCCAUUGGAUCAUUGCCAGAAGAAAUCUUUUUCCCAAGAGGAUGGGAAUU
This 868-nucleotide ribosomal RNA is filed under the name Pseudomonas sp. Its description in RNAcentral is "bacterial SSU rRNA". It matches the Rfam family "Bacterial small subunit ribosomal RNA", at positions 202 to 1035 of the family's 1533-position model. Lineage: Bacteria; Pseudomonadati; Pseudomonadota; Gammaproteobacteria; Pseudomonadales; Pseudomonadaceae. The record is from RNAcentral.